RNAcentral lists this ribosomal RNA (242 nucleotides) under Francisella tularensis subsp. tularensis 1378. Its description in RNAcentral is "partial 23S ribosomal RNA". It matches the Rfam family "Bacterial large subunit ribosomal RNA", at positions 2680 to 2925 of the family's 2925-position model. The record is from RNAcentral. Lineage: Bacteria; Pseudomonadati; Pseudomonadota; Gammaproteobacteria; Thiotrichales; Francisellaceae.
AGUACGAGAGGACCGGAGUGAACGAACCACUGGUGUUCCGGUUGUUUCGCCAGAAGCAUUGCCGGGUAGCUACGUUCGGACGGGAUAAACGCUGAAAGCAUCUAAGCGUGAAGCCUCCUUCAAGAUUAGAUCUCUCUGAUGAAAAUCAGUAAGGAACGUUGGAGACUACGACGUUGAUAGGCUGGGUGUGGAAGUACAGCAAUGUAUGAAGCUUACCAGUACUAAUGAUCCGAGAGACUUAA